Molecule: ribosomal RNA, 301 nt
Filed under: uncultured bacterium
Lineage: Bacteria
Description: partial 16S ribosomal RNA
Rfam family: Bacterial small subunit ribosomal RNA
Source: RNAcentral
CAGUCGCCGCGGGAAUACGAAUGGGGCUAGCGUUGUUCGGAUUUACUGGGCGUAAAGCGCACGUAGGCGGACUUUUAAGUCAGGGGUGAAAUCCCGGGGCUCAACCCCGGAACUGCCUUUGAUACUGGAAGUCUUGAGUAUGGUAGAGGUGAGUGGAAUUCCGAGUGUAGAGGUGAAAUUCGUAGAUAUUCGGAGGAACACCAGUGGCGAAGGCGGCUCACUGGACCAUUACUGACGCUGAGGUGCGAAAGCGUGGGGAGCAAACAGGAUUAGAGACCCCAGUAGUCCCUGUCUCUUAUAC